GACAGAGGGUGCAAACGUUGCUCGGAAUUACUGGGCGUAAAGCGCGUGUAGGCGGGUCGGCAAGUCAGGUGUGAAAGCCCUAGGCUCAACCUAGGAACUGCACUUGAAACUGCCGGUCUAGAGUAAUGGAGAGGAGAGCGGAAUUCCUGGUGUAGAGGUGAAAUUCGUAGAUAUCAGGAGGAACACCGGUGGCGAAGGCGGCUCUCUGGACAUUUACUGACGCUGAGACGCGAAAGCGUGGGGAGCAAACAGG
RNAcentral lists this ribosomal RNA (253 nucleotides) under uncultured bacterium. RNAcentral describes it as "partial 16S ribosomal RNA". It matches the Rfam family "Bacterial small subunit ribosomal RNA", at positions 524 to 776 of the family's 1533-position model. The record is from RNAcentral.